RNAcentral lists this ribosomal RNA (445 nucleotides) under uncultured bacterium. Its description in RNAcentral is "SSU rRNA". It matches the Rfam family "Bacterial small subunit ribosomal RNA", at positions 26 to 518 of the family's 1533-position model. The record is from RNAcentral.
AGAGCGAACGCUGGCGGCAGGCUUAACACAUGCAAGUCGAGCGCCCCGCAAGGGGAGCGGCAGACGGGAGAGUAACACGUGGGAACGUACCUUUCGGUUCGGAACAACCCAGGGAAACUUGGGCUAAUACCGGAUACGUCCGUAAGGAGAAAGAUUUAUCGCCGAAAGAUCGGCCCGCGUCUGAUUAGCUAGUUGGUGAGGUAACGGCUCACCAAGGCGACGAUCAGUAGCUGGUCUGAGAGGAUGAUCAGCCUCACUGGGACUGAGACACGGCCCAGACUCCUACGGGAGGCAGCAGUGGGGAAUAUUGGACAAUGGGCGCAAGCCUGAUCCAGCCAUGCCGCGUGGGUGAUGAAGGCCCUAGGGUUGUAAAGCCCUUUCGGCGGGGAAGAUAAUGACGGUACCCGCGAGAAGAAGCCCCGGCUAACUUCGCGCCAGCAGCCGC